This 229-nucleotide long non-coding RNA is filed under the name Theobroma cacao (cacao). Its description in RNAcentral is "long non-coding RNA (TCAC_LNC004587)". The record is from RNAcentral. Lineage: Eukaryota; Viridiplantae; Streptophyta; Magnoliopsida; Malvales; Malvaceae.
GUCCCUCUUCUCUCUUUAAAACACCUAGCUAGUGAGAGAAAGUAUCAAAAUAAGACUUUUUAGGGUUUUAAGGUGAAAGAGUAAAAGAGCAUAAAGGACUUUGUGAAAAAGUGCACAAAAGCAUGAAAAUUGAGGUUAACUUGAGAAAAUUUAUGGAGGUUUCAAAGCAAGCUUCCAUGAAAGAUGACAAAACGUGAGAAGGGGAGAAGAGAUGGAAGGAAGGAGAAAA